AACAAACACGUUCCACAUUCUAUUACAAAUAACACAGCACAGCACAAAUUUUUUUUUGGCCUAAGCAGACGCUGUGUUGCUUCAUUUAUCACGUUGGGCAAAACUUUUAAUUGAUAUACGCGUGCAACAAUGACCACUACACGCAAACACACACAUAUGGAUGGCAAGCUUGAUCUGGUGAUGACUUUUUAACAAGUUUGUGUAACAAAACCUAAUCACACAUCUAACGAAGACAGCCCGCAACAUUUUCGAUUGAUUGACUACUGAGCAAGAGACAGCGUGACAGACGACUUGCAACUCACAAAGACGCAUCAACUAAAAAAUGAAAGAAAAAAUAAGAAAACUGAAAAUGGAAAAGAAAAAGAAAAACAUAAAAUAAAAUAAAAUAAAAAUUGACACCGGAAGUGGCUGCAUCAUCUGCGUUGGAUGUGUCGCUGGGCGAAACAAAUUACUUGAUUUGCAUACAUCUACAGCUAAAGCCGAACACGAAUAAUGGAAAGCAAGUAUAAACGCUGCAGCCGGGCAGAACCCACUGCACAAUACCCGUUUACAUUGGAGCCGGAGCCAAUAAUUGCAGCCAACGUAAUCCCCAUAAGAUGGUAGCAACUGUGUCUGUUGCGCUGCCGAGGCAGCGAUUACCGCAACAACAAAAACAAUUCCAACUAAAAGAAAACCCAAAUUGUUGCACAGUGUGACAAACUA
Drosophila hydei is the source of this 702-nucleotide long non-coding RNA. RefSeq lists it as uncharacterized. The record is from RefSeq and is a predicted model, not a curated record. NCBI's taxonomy places the organism in Eukaryota, Metazoa, Arthropoda, Insecta, Diptera, Drosophilidae. The transcript is spliced from 3 exons.